This 497-nucleotide ribosomal RNA is filed under the name uncultured bacterium. RNAcentral's name for it is "partial 16S ribosomal RNA". It matches the Rfam family "Bacterial small subunit ribosomal RNA", at positions 28 to 507 of the family's 1533-position model. The record is from RNAcentral.
GAUGAACGCUGGCGGCGUGCCUAAUACAUGCAAGUCGAGCGAACAGAUAAGGAGCUUGCUCCUUUGACGUUAGCGGCGGACGGGUGAGUAACACGUGGGUAACCUACCUAUAAGACUGGGAUAACUUCGGGAAACCGGAGCUAAUACCGGAUAACAUUUGGAACCGCAUGGUUCUAAAGUGAAAGAUGGUUUUGCUAUCACUUAUAGAUGGACCCGCGCCGUAUUAGCUAGUUGGUAAGGUAACGGCUUACCAAGGCAACGAUACGUAGCCGACCUGAGAGGGUGAUCGGCCACACUGGAACUGAGACACGGUCCAGACUCCUACGGGAGGCAGCAAUAGGGAAUCUUCCGCAAUGGGCGAAAGCCUGACGGAGCAACGCCGCGUGAGUGAUGAAGGGUUUCGGCUCGUAAAACUCUGUUAUUAGGGAAGAACAAACGUGUAAGUAACUGUGCACGUCUUGACGGUACCUAAUCAGAAAGCCACGGCUAACUACGUG